This 3221-nucleotide long non-coding RNA is filed under the name Homo sapiens (human). RNAcentral describes it as "HSALNT0336648". The record is from RNAcentral. Lineage: Eukaryota; Metazoa; Chordata; Mammalia; Primates; Hominidae.
AUAACUUCCACGGUCCUUUCUGAGUGGUUGUAUCAACAAAGCUGUUCAAUCUUUGCACCCAGAGGUUGCAGUAAGUCUGGAUGCCACAUCAAACUGUUUGUGGUACUUCUAAACUUCGUGGAAGAGCCCUGUUUCAUAAAUCUGAGACAGCCUUGGUCUGAGGGAGCAAAGACAGAGAAUUCACGUGCUGCCCAGGCAUAGCCACAUAGCAGGUGGACAUCCCUGGACACUUUUCUGAGAUUUUAUGUCAUAGACCCUCAUUGGAUUUUCCUGGAAGUACGGAGAGUUACAUCCAGAGAACUCUGAACAUUUUGGAAGGACCCCAAUCCUGCAAACAAUGAAUGGCAAUAAAUCCUGGGACUGGAAAGGUUUAAUGAAGCCAGCUGUCAUGUUGAUGAGACUCAUGUGUCAAGGAACUGAAGAUGGUCCAUAGCCAACAGCCAGCCAGGAACUGAUUGGCUAGUAGUCCUUGAGGAACUGAAUCUCACCAACAACCAUAUAGUGAACUUGCAAAUGGUGCUUCCUCAGUUGAAACUAAAGAUGAGACUGAAGUCCUAGUUAACACUUUGUUUGCCACCUUGUAAGAUUGUGAAACAGAGGCCUGAGCUAAGCCAUGCCCAGAUUCUUGAUCCACAGAAACUGUGAGAUAAUAAAUGUGCAUUGAUUUAAGCCUCAGAUUUUGUGGUAAUGCUUUACAAAGCAAUAAGUAACUAAUGCAGUAUUCAACAAAUUUUUUGAAAAAAAAAAGAUGCUUGAAGACCUGUAUUUAAUUAUUUUUGUGAAGAAUACUCAAUGUAUACUGACUGCACCUGGGUUUUUAGUCUUAACCAAAUCAUAUACCAGUUUUAUGACCUGGCAAAAAUGUUUUUCUCUCUCUCUAGAGGUCACUUUCUUCAUCUGUUAAACGAGGUAAUUAAUUUAGAUGAUCUUUAAAAUGUCCACUAGAUUUCAUACAUCUAUCACAUAUGAUUUCAUGUAUAUGUAAUGAAAACAAAUUUUAUAUAUAUACAAAAUUUAUUUUCACUUGCAUUUAUGAAACAGGAGAAACAAAAUAAAAUUACAUUUAUUUAUUUUAAUUUAAUCUUGAAAGUAAAUUCAUGUUAUCUUCUAAAAAUGUUUCAGUUUACAAUUCAUCCAUAUUAACUUUAAUAAAAUGAUAUUUGGUUAUCUAACGGAAGAUUUAUUGAAAAUAUAUCUGCUUCAAAUAUCUCAUUAUUUUACAUUUAGUAGCUAAACUAAAUCUUAAAAAUGCUUCUGAGUUUUACCUAAAUGGGUAGUUUCUUAAAAAUACUGAAUUGAGGCUUCUAGCUAAUUGCCUAAAAUGUAUAUUUUAAAAGAUAAGGAAGAAAUUUAAAUGUAGGGAAUAAGAUUAAAUUACCAAAUAAAAUCCAUUUUUUCUAGUAAUUGGCAGAUAAAUUUAAUACAGAAAAACUUUGUUAUUCAAUAUGCCAAAAUAUCUAAUAUUAAAGUGAUAUACUAAUAAAUAUAUUUGGCAUAUUAUUAUGGUACUUUCAGUUCUCAAACUUUUAAAGUAAAAAUAUUGAUCAAGAUUUAUGCAUGACCACUUUUUUUUUUUUUUUUUUAUUUAGACAGUCUCACUCUGUUGCCCAGGCCGGAGUGCAGUGGCGCAAUCUCAGCUCACUGCAACCUCUGCGUCCAGGUUUCAAGGUAUUCUCCUGUCUCAGCCUUCUGAGUAGCUGGGAUUACAAGUGUGUGCCACCACACCUGGCUAAUUUUUUAAUUUUUACUAGAGACAGGAUUUCACCAUGUUGUCCAGGCUGGUUUUGAAUUCCUGACCUCAAGUGAUUCACCGGCCUCGGCCUCCCAGAGUGCUGGUAUUACAGAGGUGAGCCACUGUGCCCAGCCAAUUAUUUCUUUUUGAUGCAAGAAAAUCAUUUAUGGUGCAGAAGUUGUCUAUUUGUCUAUUUUUGCUUUGGUUACCUAUGCUUUUGAGGUCUUACUCAAGAAAUCUUUGUCCAUACCAAUGUCCUAAAGUGUUUCCCCAAUGUUUUCUUCAAGUAGUUUCAUAGUUUCAGGUCUUACGUUUAAGUCUUUAAUUCAGUUUGAUUUGAUUUUUGUAUAUGGUGAGAGAUAGAGGUCUAGUUUCAUUCUUCUACAUAUACAGUUUUCCUAGUAAAAUUUAUUGAAGAGACUGUCCUUUCCUCAAUAUAUGUUAUUGGUGCUCAGUAGCAAAAUAGAAUGACUAUAGUUAACAAUAAUUUAUUGUAUAUUUUAAAAUAACUAGAGAGUGAAUUUGGAAUGUUCCCAAUGCAAAGAAAUAAUAAAUGUUUGAGGUGAUGGACAUCCCAAUUACCCUGAUUUGAUCAUUAUAUAUUAUAUGCUUGUAUCAAAACAUCACAUGUACCCCAUAAAUAUGUACAACAACUAUGUACCUAUAAAUAUUGAAAAUAAAUAAUUUUUUAAAAAGAAAAUUCUGAAUUUGAGAUUUUAAAAUCAAAUUCAAGGUAUAAUACUGGUCAAAAAUUGUGAACCAAAUAUGUUAUUUUAGUUUUUUUAUUGCUGUGGUAACAAAUUAAAACAAACUUAGCCACUUAAAAUAACACCCAUUUAUUAUCUUCCAGUUUUUAUGAUUCCAAAGUGUUGGCUCAGCAUGGCUCUACUGAAUUCUCUGCUUAGGGCCCACGAGGCUGAAAUCAAGUUGUCACCUAGGCUUUGUGUUUUACUAGAGGCUAGAGGAAAGAAUUGGCUUUAAUGCUUAUUGAACUUGGAGGCAGAAUUCAUAUUCUUCUCACGUUUUCAAGACAGCCAAUGGGCAAAAGUACUCAUACUUCAAAUCUCUUUGUUCUCUGCUGAAUCUGUCUACAUUUAAAGACUCAUGAUAUUACAUUGAGCCCACCUGGAUAAUCCAGGAUAACCUCCCUAUUUUAGAACAAUCUUCACUGCCUCUGCAAUUUUUUUUUUUUUUUUGCCAUGUAAUAUAACAUAGCCAUAGGGAUGACACCAAGGGGUGAAUGAGGGUUAUGGGGCUCAAAAUUCUGUCUACCACAUAUGAUGGAGCUCUUCAUUUUCCUCUCACAUUAUGAGAUUCUCUAUUAAGUGUUCAGUUUAAUUAUUCUUUUAGAUAUUAAAUUUUAAAGGUAAGACCAAAUUAACUUUUUAAUAUAAAUGAUAAAAGUUUACAAAUAUCCAACUAUCUGUUACCCAAAAAUUAAUCUUUCAGAGUAAAAAGAAUUUAGUUAUGGAAAUAAUAAAUUGAAAAG